Molecule: ribosomal RNA, 253 nt
Filed under: uncultured bacterium
Lineage: Bacteria
Description: partial 16S ribosomal RNA
Rfam family: Bacterial small subunit ribosomal RNA
Source: RNAcentral
UACGUAGGGUGCAAGCGUUGUCCGGAAUUAUUGGGCGUAAAGAGCUCGUAGGCGGUCAGUCGCGUCUGCUGUGAAAACUCGGGGCUUAACCCCGGGCCUGCAGUGGAUACGGGCAGGCUGGAGGCGGGCAGGGGAGAACGGAAUUCCCGGUGUAGCGGUGAAAUGCGCAGAUAUCGGGAGGAACACCGGUGGCGAAGGCGGUUCUCUGGGCCUGUACUGACGCUGAGGAGCGAAAGCGUGGGGAGCGAACAGG